RNAcentral lists this long non-coding RNA (874 nucleotides) under Nicotiana tabacum (common tobacco). Its description in RNAcentral is "long non-coding RNA (NTAB_LNC003728)". Lineage: Eukaryota; Viridiplantae; Streptophyta; Magnoliopsida; Solanales; Solanaceae. The record is from RNAcentral.
CCGUGAGUUAAGAAUACAAUAUGUGAUACCAAUUUAUACAUAAGACAUAUGGGCCUAUAAGGCCAAAAUAACCACCUGUAUACUGAACAUAGACCGACAAGGCCAUACAAUCUUUUACGUACAUGACAUCUGUCUACAAGCCUCUAAGAAUACAUAAUUUUCAUACAGGUAGGGAUAGAGCCCUGCCAUACUAAACAGUACACGUCUAAAUCAUACUAACCAAACAAACAACCCCGAAACAAAUGGAGCGCACCAACAUCUUCCGCUGAGAUGAUAGCCUACUUGGAGGGCUCUCGACCUAUCUAUCGGGACCUGCCGACAUGAAACGCAGCGUCCCCAGGCAAAAGGGAUGUCAGUAUGAAUAAUGUACUGAGUGUGUAAGACACAUAAAUAAGUACAUAACAGAUAUAAAAGAAAUAUAGAGUAAAUAAUUCAAGUUGUAAGUCUGAAAAACAUUAUAAAUCAUGAAAUACUUAUAGUGUCAUACAUAUGCGUAUGAAUGUCAUGUCGUGCAUAGGUACAUGUUUCAUAACAUCAUCAGCCUCUGAGGGCAUCCCAUCAUAUCAUCUCGGCCAGUGUGGGCAAAAUCAUCAACGUAUACCAGCUGAUCAGGUGGUGGUGCGUAUAUAAUGCCGUAACCUUUUCCAUAUCCUACAUACAUAUAAUAUACAUAUAUAUACGCGUAUAUAACGUCAUUUGGUCAUGUGUCAAUGUACAUGAAUGCAAUGCAUGAGAAGUACGUUAAUAAAAUCUUUCGGAAUGUCAUAAGACCAUUAUGUCUUUUGAGUAAUAUCAUGAAGUAAACUUUUUCAACUUACGUAUUUUUAUGAGACCCAUGAACAGAGGAUAAAAUAAUAGGACACAUGAGAAUUCN